AAGACUAUAGACCUGCGGAGUACCUGCGGAAGGAUCAUUACCGAGUUCUCGCCCCUCGCGGGGUAGACCUCCCACCCACUGUGAUCACUACCGUCGUUGCUUUGGCGGGCCGCUGGGCCCAGCCCACCGCCGGCCCCGGCUGGCGCGUGCCCGCCAGAGGCCCUACAAACGCUGGAUAUCAGUGCCGUCUGAGUACACAUGUUAAUCGUUAAAACUUUUAACAACGGAUCUCUAGAUCGG
This 240-nucleotide unclassified non-coding RNA is filed under the name soil metagenome. RNAcentral's name for it is "partial contains 5.8S ribosomal RNA, internal transcribed spacer 2, and large subunit ribosomal RNA". The record is from RNAcentral.